AGAGCUCCUGCCCCAGUGGCUGUAUUGUCCUGAAACAGUCGUGAUUUAGGGACUUCCCAGAAAAUGGAACAGACACUAGCUGGAGCCUCAUCCUAGAUUUUAACAUUAACUCAUGGAAACAUAAACUCCAAGCUAGAAAGAAACUAAAGAAAGAAUGCAAUUUAGACCUGUCCUACAACUGCAACUUCCACUCUUAGAUUGGUAUAGUGCACCAGAAAAAUCAGCCUCAACUCUUUUUCCAAACAGUAGAUCUUGGAAACUA
RNAcentral lists this long non-coding RNA (262 nucleotides) under Homo sapiens (human). RNAcentral's name for it is "non-protein coding lnc-CAMK1G-9:1". The record is from RNAcentral. Lineage: Eukaryota; Metazoa; Chordata; Mammalia; Primates; Hominidae.